UGGGUAAUCUGCCGCGCAGAGGGGGAUAACGACUGGAAACGGUCGCUAACACCGCAUGGUACCCUGGACACGGGCGUGUCGGGGGUUAAAACUUUGGUGCUGCGCGAGGAGCCUGCGUCCGAUUAGCUAGUUGGUGAGGUAACGGCUCACCAAGGCAAUGAUCGGUAGCUGGUCUGAGAGGAUGAUCAGUCACGACGGGAACUGAGACACGGUCCCGACUCCGUACGGGAGGCAG
This 235-nucleotide ribosomal RNA is filed under the name uncultured bacterium. Its description in RNAcentral is "partial 16S ribosomal RNA". It matches the Rfam family "Bacterial small subunit ribosomal RNA", at positions 118 to 351 of the family's 1533-position model. The record is from RNAcentral.